ACAGCACAAUUAAGCAUAGGUGCAGGUUUGUGUAUAUACCGAUCCAAUAAAUCGUCAACAAAUUUAAUGGAAAUCUUAACUUAGCCUGCAGGAAGAGAUCACAGCACAGCAACCACUGCGAACAGCAGAAGGGCUUGCAGUAGCAGCAGAGCGUGAACACUUUUCAUCAAACAUUUGGUUUACAGGGGCCCUAACAGCAAAUGAAUGAAAGCAGCAACACUGACACAGUUCAUCAAACAGGCUGUGGCCUGUGGGUAACCGGGAAGUCAAUUAGAAUCCUUUGAGUGAAGCACGAGGUCGCCGACGGCGACGAGGCCGUAGGCAUCGCUGCCGGCGCAGGGCAGCACGGAGGGCUGACACCGGAAGGUGAUUGCGUCGCGCCCGCCAGCCGUCGGGCCAGCAGAUCCUGCGGCCAUGGAGCGAGAUCCCCAACACUGGCGACGGCGUGCGGAUCUCUGGCUCCCCUGCGCUGCCUCUCGCCUCCGACUCACGCCUCGCUACCUCCCCAGUGCGACGCCUCUCGCCUCCGCGCGAACCGUGUGCCGGCGGACGGGAUCCACCGCUCGCAGUAAUAGCUCGCCGCAGCACCUUUCGGCACCUCGUGCCGCUCCGAUUAGCGAGGAUCCGGCCCUUGGCACGAGGCGAACAGCCGGUGUAGAGUGUAGCGGA
Molecule: long non-coding RNA, 669 nt
Filed under: Setaria viridis
Lineage: Eukaryota; Viridiplantae; Streptophyta; Magnoliopsida; Poales; Poaceae
Description: long non-coding RNA (SVIR_LNC009066)
Source: RNAcentral